CCUACGGGUGGCAGCAGUGAGGAAUAUUGGUCAAUGGGCGAGAGCCUGAACCAGCCAAGUCGCGUGAGGGAGUACUGCCCUAUGGGUUGUAAACCUCUUUUGUCGGGGAGCAAAAGCCGGACGUGUCCGGCUGUGAGAGUACCCGAAGAAAAAGCAUCAGCUAACUCCGUGCCAGCAGCCGCGGUAAUACGGAGGAUGCGGCCGUUAUCCGGAUUUAUUGGGUUUAACGGGUGCGCAGGCGGAUUUUUAUGUCAGCGGUAAAAUCGUGGGGCUCAACCCCAUCCAGCCGUUGAAACUGGGGAUCUAGAGUGUGCGAGAGGUAUGCGGAAUGCGUGGUGUAGCGGUGAAAUGCAUAGAUAUCACGCAGAACCGCGAUUGCGAAGGCAGCAUACCGGUGCACAACUGACGCUCAGGCACGAAAGCGUGGGUAUCGAACAGGAUUAGAUACCCGUGUAGUC
RNAcentral lists this ribosomal RNA (458 nucleotides) under uncultured bacterium. RNAcentral's name for it is "partial 16S ribosomal RNA". It matches the Rfam family "Bacterial small subunit ribosomal RNA", at positions 338 to 795 of the family's 1533-position model. The record is from RNAcentral.